Small nuclear RNA from Sorex araneus (European shrew), 134 nucleotides. The record is from Ensembl. NCBI's taxonomy places the organism in Eukaryota, Metazoa, Chordata, Mammalia, Eulipotyphla, Soricidae.
ACAAAUAGCCUCUGCUGUGAGUGGCACUUGUGGGGCAGCUCAUUUGCUCUAUGUGUGGAAUUGACAUCAAGAGAUUUGGGGAGGUAUAAUUUUUUGGCAGUUAGGGAGCUGUGAUCAUCAGUCCUGGUGCCCCG